RNAcentral lists this ribosomal RNA (398 nucleotides) under uncultured microorganism. RNAcentral's name for it is "bacterial SSU rRNA". It matches the Rfam family "Archaeal small subunit ribosomal RNA", at positions 330 to 730 of the family's 1478-position model. The record is from RNAcentral.
GUGCACCAGGCGCGAAACCUCCUCAAUGCACUCACGUGCGAAGGGGUUACCUCGAGUGCCGCCUGAAGAAGGCGGCUUUUCCAUGGUCUAAAAAGCCUAGGGAAUAAGAGGGGGGCAAGACUGGUGUCAGCCGCCGCGGUAACACCAGCCCCUCGAGUGGUGGGGAUGAUUAUUUGGCCUAAAAGCGUCCGUAGCCGGCCGGGUAAGUCUCCCGUUAAAUCCAGCGUCUCAAGCGUUGGACUGCGGGAGAUACUGUCUGGCUAGAGAGUGGGAGAGGUGUACGGUAUUCUGGGGUAGGGCGAAACCUUUGAUCCCCGGAGGACCACCAGUGGCGAAGGCUGUACACUAGAACACGUCUGACGGUCAGGGACGAAAAGCUGGGGUAGCGAAACCGGAUU